CAGUGGGUGCUGGAGGGUGCUUUCCUGGCCGUUCCAAGCUUUUCAGGUACCAAGGGAAAAUGGCUAGCAGUGAGUUCUGUAGCUUUUCCUGCUCUGCAGGCCCUCUGGCUUAGCCAGCUGGAUCACACUGAAUUAGUCAAGUACUUCAUUAUCUCCCUUCUCUGCACAUUUUGCUCCAGAGCUACAAAGACUACCAAAAUCCUCCACACCUGAAAAGGCACCAGGAGAUGACUGUGAAGUGUGUAUGUCACUUUGGCAAGUCCCUUCGAACCCAGGGGUCCCCAGACCACCUCUGCCCAGGCAGGACAGCCACCCGCUCCCAUCGCCUGCAGGUGAGGCCCGGCUGCCUCCCCCCGCACUCACGAGGAUUAACGAACAGCAAGAAAGCAAAUUGCUACAGUUAAAGGAAGAAAACAGCAGGACUAACACGUUUCAGUCGGGGUACUACGCUGAGACUCAGCAAUCUUUAUACUCUUAGAGAGCAGCAGUUCUUUAAGAGCUUUACACCCAAUAAAAUUUAAACUUUUA
Long non-coding RNA from Centrocercus urophasianus (Greater sage-grouse), 528 nucleotides. RefSeq lists it as uncharacterized. The record is from RefSeq and is a predicted model, not a curated record. The transcript is spliced from 4 exons. Lineage: Eukaryota; Metazoa; Chordata; Aves; Galliformes; Phasianidae.